GAUAAACGCUGGCGGCGUGCCUAAUACAUGCAAGUCGAUCGCUGGAGUUCUAGCUUGCUAGAGCGAAGGAGAGGCGAACGGGUGAGUAAUACAUAAGCAACCUGCCCACGAAGACUGGGAUAAUUCCUGGAAACGGGGACUAAUACCGGAUAGGCAGCUUGAUCGCAUGAUCGGGCUGUUAAAGAUUCAAAGCACUGGUGGAUGGGCUUAUGGCGCAUUAGCUAGUUGGUGAGGUAACGGCUCACCAAGGCGAUGAUGCGUAGCCGGCCUGAGAGGGUGAACGGCCACAUUGGGACUGAGACACGGCCCAG
RNAcentral lists this ribosomal RNA (311 nucleotides) under uncultured bacterium. RNAcentral's name for it is "bacterial SSU rRNA". It matches the Rfam family "Bacterial small subunit ribosomal RNA", at positions 28 to 334 of the family's 1533-position model. The record is from RNAcentral.